This 710-nucleotide ribosomal RNA is filed under the name Terminalia phanerophlebia. RNAcentral describes it as "eukaryotic LSU rRNA". The stretch from base 1 to 102 matches the Rfam family "Eukaryotic small subunit ribosomal RNA", at positions 1730 to 1831 of the family's 1831-position model. Lineage: Eukaryota; Viridiplantae; Streptophyta; Magnoliopsida; Myrtales; Combretaceae. The record is from RNAcentral.
UCGCCGCCGACGACGUCGCGAGAAGUCCACUGAACCUUAUCAUUUAGAGGAAGGAGAAGUCGUAACAAGGUUUCCGUAGGUGAACCUGCGGAAGGAUCAUUGUCGACACCUGCAAAGCAGAGCGACCCGUGAACCGUUUUUGAACGCCCGGGAUACCGGGGGGGCGCCUGUCCCCCCGGUAGCCCGAAAGCUCCGGACUCUAGGGGUGCAAACCACCCCAGGGUACGGAGCUCCAAACAAACCCCGGCGCGCGAAGCGCCAAGGUACUCCAACGAUAGGGCAUGCGCCCGUAGCCCUGGGUUCCAGUGUGCUCGGGCUGCUGUUCAACGUCAUAAAGUCUAAACGANNNGUGUGAAUUGCAGAAUCCCGUGAACCAUCGAGUCUUUGAACGCAAGUUGCGCCCGAAGCCUUGGCUGAGGGCACGUCUGCCUGGGUGUCACGCAUCGCGUUGCCUCCAAACCCUUCACCCUUCGGACGUUGCGGUGAUGGUCUGGAUGCGGAAGCUGGCCUCCCGCGGCCGCGAGCCACGGAUGGCCCAAACACGUGCUAGGGAAGCGAAGCGCCACGGCAUUCGGUGGUUGAUCCAAGCCCCAGAAGCAGUGCCGGCGGUGGCCGCGUCCGUCCCUAGCCCACGACCCUAAUCGUUAACCAACGCGACCUCAGGUCAGGCGGGGCUACCCGCUGAGUUUAAGCAUAUCAAUAAGCGGAGG